This is a long non-coding RNA of Triticum aestivum (bread wheat), 2274 nucleotides long. RefSeq lists it as uncharacterized. The record is from RefSeq and is a predicted model, not a curated record. NCBI's taxonomy places the organism in Eukaryota, Viridiplantae, Streptophyta, Magnoliopsida, Poales, Poaceae. The transcript is spliced from 5 exons.
UAAGGCUGAGUCGCUGAUCAGGAGGAAGAUCAAUUUCUACGCCUUCUUGCAUGUGCCACACUGAUCGUUUCUCACGUUUGGAAUUUCUAUGCCCAAUCCUCUAUCUUCUUCCCCUUUCCCUUUUGUUGUCUUCGCCUGAUUGACGUUGUAUUAUUCAUGUCCUGCCCAAUCGGUUUUACAGGGACUCAAUCUUGGUGUGGAUUGGGCAUCACAUUGUCGUCAGCCUUGGGUGUUCAGGUGCUGAUCUUGGUGUCAAUUGCUGCCUCGCGUUUCCAUCAACUUCAGCUGGUUACAUGUUUCUUGGGACUUCAGCUGGUUACAUGUUUCUUGGGAAUAAACGAAUGAUAUAAUUAUGAUGUCAAUUUGGUCGGCAAAUACUGCUACUUCUGGAAUCUGAAGUGUACACCCUAUGCAUUUCAGUCUAUUUUACUGCUGGUCUAUCUUGAUCUUCAUAGAAUCGUUGAUGUUGCUUUGGAUAAGUCUAUUAAAGAAAUUAUAGGCCCUGUUAUUUAAAGAAGGGUUACAAUAGCUGCCCGAACUACUAAGGUGCUUAUUCUUAAGGUGAACGUCAUGGACUAUUUCCCUAGCUGUACAUGUCCAUUAGCCAUUUGUCUUCCUGUAGUUGAAAAGUUUCUAACAGGCUUGCAUAUUUGCCCUGCGGGAUUGGGCAAUGGAAUCUGAUGAUAGUGUAGUAUCUCGCGCUGCACAUUUCAUGGUUGGCGUGCUAGCUGGAAGUCUAGCUCAUGUAACUUCCUGUAUAUUUUUGCAUAAGGCUCUUAGUGUAGUUUUUCAGUUGUAGUUACAGCCCCAGCACGUUGAUUAUUAAAUUCAUUUAGGUUUAGAUUUAAUGUGUAAUGCUAUAUUCAGUUGUCUUGUCUUCUACUGCAUGAGCGUUUUUGUGUUGUUUUAUCAUCUCAUCUUCAAAGUCUCAUUCAGAACCUGAGCAAUAACAGUGAAACCACUGAACAGAUUGUUCAUAUUCUGAUUAAUGAUACUCUAUAUCUUGAUGUGCGUUAAUAGAGACUAUUGCAGCACACACGGUACCUCUUCACUUUUUAUUUGUUUUGGUUUAUAUAUCUGGUCGUUACGAUGGGAAGUAGCCAAUGGUAUGGUGUUGCUUCACUUACUAUGCUAUCAGCCAUUUUUGGACUUUUUAACUUCGCUACCAAAGGCAUACGUAGGCCUUAGAUAUAUGCAUUAUAGCAGAAAUAUGGAAUGUUCUGUUAAUGCGUCACAACAUCAAUGAGGAUCUUGCAGGCUAUUGAGAUGAUUGAUGGAGAACUCAAGCAGCCUUUUGCCAAUAACUUGUUGCCGUUCAUGUCCAUUUUGACGUCGGCUGCCUCUGAACAGCAUGUUGCUUAGAGUAGCAUUUAGAGUGGUCAAAGAGACUGAAUUUAUCCUUCACUAUUAUUUGGCGCUUCUCCAAUUCAAGGCGAGUGAUACAACCUGAAUCUUUCAUUUUAUUCCCCUAGAUUUUACUAGAUGCUACUGCUAAUGGUUCUUGUGAAGACGAGCUACAUUUAUUAUCUGUGGGCUAAUUCAGUUUUUCGAAGUGAAUUGGGUCACACAGAGAAUCAACGCACACUAAAUCAGUUUGAUUGGCAAUUAUUGGGCUACAGAUUGAAACAUGCUUUUCCAGAUGGAACCAUCAGCAAAAAAUUCAAAGCAGACAUAUGACUUUUCUUUGCCCAAGCAACAAGACAAGCUGGUGGCACUGGUUUGCAGGACAUUGUCGGUUCAUGAAUUUUAUCGUUUGCGCUUUGAUGUGCUAGCACGAGUGGCUCCUCGCCGACACGCGAAACAGUGGCUUCUUCCAGCGGCCGAAGCAGCCGCGUAGCCAAUAUGCCUCGUGUGGAUUCUCUUGGUCGUCAGCCUGCGAGAAGCCUCCGCUAUCGGUCCAGCCGACCAUUGAUGUGAAGGGCCAGACAAUUGUUGAUAAGUACACGUUGCUUGUGCUCACCAUGCCGCCGAGGGGCACGAUGACGCCGUACGGCUUGAGGGGAGGCGGAGAAGUGAUUAAGCAACCACAGUGUAUUCCCGUGACAUUGUUGAAAUACAUAUGUUUGAUGGUCUGUUUUGUAGGACGUACUCCCUCUGUAAACUAAUAUAAGAGCGUUUAGAUCACUACUUUAGUAUUCUAAAAGCUCUUAUAUUAGUUUACGGAGGGAGUACAAAAUAAUUGUACGUUCAUGAUUGUUCGUUCAGCAAGAUUUCAUGUACAUGUGCUACUCUAAUCGUAACAAACUGAAAAGUUUAACUGACAAUUCAUAUUUC